UUCUUUAUCACCGAGUGCUUGCACUCACCGAUAAAGAGUUGAGUGGCGAACGGGUGAGUAACGCGUGGGCAACCUGCCCAAAAGAGGGGGAUAACACUUGGAAACAGGUGCUAAUACCGCAUAACCAUAGUUACCGCAUGGUAACUAUGUAAAAGGUGGCUAUGCUACCGCUUUUGGAUGGGCCCGCGGCGCAUUAGCUAGUUGGUGGGGUAAAGGCUUACCAAGGCAAUGAUGCGUAGCCGAACUGAGAGGUUAAUCGGCCACAUUGGGACUGAGACACGGCCCAAACUCCUACGGGAGGCAGCAGUAGGGAAUCUUCCACAAUGGGCGAAAGCCUGAUGGAGCAACGCCGCGUGGGUGAAGAAGGUCUUCGGAUCGUAAAACCCUGUUGUUAGAGAAGAAAGUGCGUGAGAGUAACUGUUCACGUUUCGACGGUAUCUAACCAGAAAGCCACGGCUAACUACGUGCCAGCAGCCGCGGUAAUACGUAGGUGGCAAGCGUUAUCCGGAUUUAUUGGGCGUAAAGGGAACGCAGGCGGUCUUUUAAGUCUGAUGUGAAAGCCUUCGGCUUAACCGGAGUAGUGCAUUGGAAACUGGGAGACUUGAGUGCAGAAGAGGAGAGUGGAACUCCAUGUGUAGCGGUGAAAUGCGCAGAUAUAUGGAAGAACACCAGUGGCGAAAGCGGCUCUCUGGUCUGUAACUGACGCUGAGGUUCGAAAGCGUGGGUAGCAAACAGGAUUAGAUACCCUGGUAGUC
Molecule: ribosomal RNA, 755 nt
Filed under: uncultured bacterium
Lineage: Bacteria
Description: bacterial SSU rRNA
Rfam family: Bacterial small subunit ribosomal RNA
Source: RNAcentral